This 771-nucleotide ribosomal RNA is filed under the name uncultured bacterium. Its description in RNAcentral is "bacterial SSU rRNA". It matches the Rfam family "Bacterial small subunit ribosomal RNA", at positions 573 to 1342 of the family's 1533-position model. The record is from RNAcentral.
AGGCGGUUUGUCGCGUCUGCCGUGAAAGUCCGGGGCUUAACUCCGGAUCUGCGGUGGGUACGGGCAGACUAGAGUGCAGUAGGGGAGACUGGAAUUCCUGGUGUAGCGGUGAAAUGCGCAGAUAUCAGGAGGAACACCGAUGGCGAAGGCAGGUCUCUGGGCUGUAACUGACGCUGAGGAGCGAAAGCAUGGGGAGCGAACAGGAUUAGAUACCCUGGUAGUCCAUGCCGUAAACGUUGGGCACUAGGUGUGGGGGACAUUCCACGUUUUCCGCGCCGUAGCUAACGCAUUAAGUGCCCCGCCUGGGGAGUACGGCCGCAAGGCUAAAACUCAAAGGAAUUGACGGGGGCCCGCACAAGCGGCGGAGCGUGCGGAUUAAUUCGAUGCAACGCGAAGAACCUUACCAAGGCUUGACAUGAACCGGAAUGAUGCAGAGAUGUGUCAGCCACUUGUGGCCGGUUUACAGGUGGUGCAUGGUUGUCGUCAGCUCGUGUCGUGAGAUGUUGGGUUAAGUCCCGCAACGAGCGCAACCCUCGUUCCAUGUUGCCAGCGGGUUAUGCCGGGGACUCAUGGGAGACUGCCGGGGUCAACUCGGAGGAAGGUGGGGACGACGUCAAAUCAUCAUGCCCCUUAUGUCUUGGGCUUCACGCAUGCUACAAUGGCCGGUACAAAGGGUUGCGAUACUGUGAGGUGGAGCUAAUCCCAAAAAGCCGGUCUCAGUUCGGAUUGAGGUCUGCAACUCGACCUCAUGAAGUUGGAGUCGCUAGUAAU